CUUUCUUCAAUAUGUCGCGAGAUUUGAGGAAGUUAAAGUGGUCAGUCAGUGUUCAGUGCUUCUUGAUAUUGGAAUCUGUCGCAUUUUGUGAUGAGUACUGGUAAAAGAUUGUCUGGCAGUGAAAUAAACGCAAUUCUUAUUUUAAGAAAACGGAAAUUAAUGAUUACUGAAAUUGCGAAAGAAAUUAAUCGAAGCAGAAAAGCUGUAUAUAACGUAUUAAAAGAUGUAGAUAAUUACGGUAAAAGGAAAAGUAUUAGAAGGUCGGCAGCCUUAUCACACCGUGACACAAUAGCAAUACUUCGUGCUGCAUCAAGACUUGUGCUACUGUAAAUUGCUUGCAAAGCUGGUGUACAUACGAAUAUUCAAAAUGUUCGACGUAUGCGGCAAAUAAAUAAUAUUAUAAAUCGAUCAAAAAUAAAAGCAUAAGGAAGCACGCCUUGAAUUUGCGAAAAAAUACAUAGGAAUACUGAAGGAAAACCUGGAGGAAUCUUUACACAUGAAAAAUGGUUUUGUCUGGAUGGUCCAGAUAGUAGUACAUACUAUUAUCAUGACAUUCGAAAAGAAUAAUUAACAAAAAUUAGAUGACAAAUGAAAGAAAGGUAAUGCUGCCAUACAAAUGGCAAAAAUGAUUCAUGAAUAUUUUUCAAAGGAGAAAAUUUCUGUUUUGGAAUGGCCGGCGUGCUCAUCGGACCUCAAUAUAAUUGAGAACUGUUGGGGAUUAUUAUCAAAAGCUGUCUAUGCAGAAGGUAGACAAUUUGAAAAUUUUAAUGAUUUAAAAAUCUGUAUUAAAGAGUAAUGAAAAAAUUGAUCACAAUCUUCAAUUAAAGUAUUGUAUAAAUCCUUACUAAGAAAGAUGAUAGAAGUAAUUGAGAACCAUGAAGGUCCCUCACAUUAUUAAACACAGGAGUAUGCUAUAGUAUUGGAUUGUAAAAAUACUGUGAGCCGAAAGGUAAAAAUAUCAAUUUUUAAUGGAACUAAGGGAAGAGGCUUUAAUAGUUAAAUGGAAACACAUGUCAGGAGAUUUAGUCAAAUAGCUGAAACUCAUGUGGAGCUCUGUAUUUUGAGCACGGAAAUGCUGGCCAGAAACAGUCUCUGGAGAAAGGAAAAUGGCAUUGAUACAUUUGUUACUUUGUAAUUAGUUUUCGUUUCGCUAAUAACAUACAAACAAAAGUUUCUAACGCUACAAACACAAGUAAACAUAAUGCACAUGAUUUCACUCGAAACGAUUAUUUGAUUUCUUCGUGAUUUGUCUGCUUCUCGAUGCGCGUCGAAUAUUAAAAUUUUAGGAAUUACAAUAUGGAAUUUAUUUAAUCCCACUUGAACGAUGGUAAUGUUGUGUGGAUUAAAAGCUUUUCGAUAAGCUCUAAUAAAGGUACAAUUCUAAAUAAAUAAUUUUGUAUUACAUAAGGUGUUAAAAGAUAUACGGCACAAAGUAAAUGAUGAAUAGAACCCACUAAACUAAGUAAAAAAAAAGUUAGUGAAUAUAGGUUGAAAUUUCAACGAUGUUCGAGCAAUAAAUAGUUUUUAUGUUCAUAUAAAAUAUAUUGUGCAUUAAGAACAUGUAAUUAUCAUAUCUUUUAACACUCUGUAUAAGAUAUUAUGUUGGUAUAUUAUCUUUAUUAGUAACUGAAUAUUUUCAAAGGUUAUAUUGUAAAUGUUGUUACAAAAGACAUUUGCUUUAGUUUUAUUGGCAUAUAUGAUUAUAUAAUAUAAUUAAUUAUUAAUAAUAUCUAAACAGGGAGAGAAAUUAUGUAGCAUGUACAUUUGCUGUAAAUGUAAAUGUAUUGAAAAUGUAAGUAUUCAAAGAUGAAAAAUAAUACGUUUCUCAAUUGAUAUGUGAACUAAAUUGUAAUAAAUUUUGUAUGAGCAGUUCAAUAAAACGUAAAGAUAUUCAUGUAAUUAUAAUAAAUUAGAAGAGGCUGAAUUUCACUUUUCACUACAUCUGCUGAUUUUUAUCAAACUUCGAUAAAAAUACUUGUUAUUCAAAUAUUUGCCAAACAUUUUUUGUUACUGAUCAUUCUUACUUUGCAAGAGUAAAUUAAAUUCUCAAAUGGAGAGGUACAAAACCUAUUUCUUCACACACAUGGAAAUUAUUUAAAGCAGAAACAUAUUGUAAAUACUAAAAUUCUGUAUCAUUUAGUAAGAAAUCAAAUUA
Molecule: long non-coding RNA, 2155 nt
Organism: Nomia melanderi (Alkali bee)
Lineage: Eukaryota; Metazoa; Arthropoda; Insecta; Hymenoptera; Halictidae
Source: RefSeq, a predicted model, not a curated record